CUUGAUGGUAGUGUAUUGGACUACCAUGGCAGUAACGGGUAACGAAGAAUUAGGGUUCGAUUUCGGAGAGGGAGCAUGAGAAACGGCUACCACAUCUAAGGAAGGCAGCAGGCGCGUAAAUUACCCAAUCCUGACUCAGGGAGGUAGUGACAAGAAAUAGCAAACCGGGGACCUCACGGUCUCACGGUAUUGCAAUGAGAACAAUUUAAAACGCUUAGCGAGGAUCAAGUGGAGGACAAGUCUGGUGCCAGCACCCGCGGUAAUUCCAGCUCCACUAGCGUAUAUUAAAGUUGUUGCAGUUAAAAAGCUCGUAGUUGAACCUCUGUCUGGGGCUAGUUUUGGCUUAGGUCAGGCUAGUUUUAGGCAUCCGCCUACAAGACCUAGAGGGCAUUUAGUUGUUAACUAGGAGGAGUAGGCAUUUUACUUUGAAAAGAUUAGAGUGUUUAAGGCAGGCAAUCGCCCGCAUAUAUUAGCAUGGAAUAAUAGAAUAGGACACUUUUCCAUUUCGUUGGUUAUUGGAAUCGUGUAAUGAUUAAUAGGGACAGUUGUGGGCAUUUGUAUUUAAUUGUCAGAGGUGAAAUUCUUGGAUUUAUUAAAGACAAACUAACGCGAAAGCAUUUGCCAAGGAUGUUUUCAUUAAUCAAGAACGAAAGUUAGGGGAUCAAAGACGAUCAGAUACCGUC
RNAcentral lists this ribosomal RNA (683 nucleotides) under uncultured ciliate. RNAcentral describes it as "SSU rRNA". It matches the Rfam family "Eukaryotic small subunit ribosomal RNA", at positions 319 to 1019 of the family's 1831-position model. Lineage: Eukaryota; Ciliophora. The record is from RNAcentral.